GAGGGUGUAGCUCAAGUGGUAGAGCAGAUGCUUAGCAUGCAUAAGGUCCUGAGUUUAAUCCUCAGUACCUCCU
This is a transfer RNA of Camelus ferus (Wild Bactrian camel), 73 nucleotides long. It matches the Rfam family "tRNA". Rfam says of the family: Transfer RNA (tRNA) molecules are approximately 80 nucleotides in length. Their secondary structure includes four short double-helical elements and three loops (D, anti-codon, and T loops). Further hydrogen bonds mediate the characteristic L-shaped molecular structure. tRNAs have two regions of fundamental functional importance: the anti-codon, which is responsible for specific mRNA codon recognition, and the 3' end, to which the tRNAs corresponding amino acid is attached (by aminoacyl-tRNA synthetases). tRNAs cope with the degeneracy of the genetic code in two manners: having more than one tRNA (with a specific anti-codon) for a particular amino acid; and 'wobble' base-pairing, i.e. permitting non-standard base-pairing at the 3rd anti-codon position. NCBI's taxonomy places the organism in Eukaryota, Metazoa, Chordata, Mammalia, Artiodactyla, Camelidae. The record is from Rfam.